GACGAACGCUGGCGGCGUGCUUAACACAUGCAAGUCGAACGGAAAGGCCCUGCUUUUGUGGGGUGCUCGAGUGGCGAACGGGUGAGUAACACGUGAGUAACCUGCCCUUGACUUUGGGAUAACUUCAGGAAACUGGGGCUAAUACCGGAUAGGAGCUCCUGCUGCAUGGUGGGGGUUGGAAAGUUUCGGCGGUUGGGGAUGGACUCGCGGCUUAUCAGCUUGUUGGUGGGGUAGUGGCUUACCAAGGCUUUGACGGGUAGCCGGCCUGAGAGGGUGACCGGCCACAUUGGGCCUGAGGUACGGCCCAGACUCCUACGUGAGGCAGCAGUGGGGAAUAUUGCACAAUGGGCGGAAGCCUGAUGCAGCAACGCCGCGUGCGGGAUGACGUCCUUCGGGUUGUAAACCGCUUUCGCCUGUGACGAAGCGUGAGUGACGGUAAUGGGUAAAGAAGCACCGGCUAACUACGUG
Molecule: ribosomal RNA, 468 nt
Filed under: uncultured bacterium
Lineage: Bacteria
Description: partial 16S ribosomal RNA
Rfam family: Bacterial small subunit ribosomal RNA
Source: RNAcentral